Molecule: long non-coding RNA, 936 nt
Organism: Dioscorea cayenensis subsp. rotundata (Guinea yam)
Lineage: Eukaryota; Viridiplantae; Streptophyta; Magnoliopsida; Dioscoreales; Dioscoreaceae
Exons: 4
Source: RefSeq, a predicted model, not a curated record
UCCCUUUUUGUUUCCCUUUUUCUCGCUGCUCCCGAAAGGCCGAAACCCUAACCCUAACCCUAAUCCCUUUGAUAGCUUGAAAAGAAGCACAGAGAGCUCGAUUGAAGAUCCAUGGCCAGGUUCCAAGAUGCUGAGGAGAUCGAUUCCAAGCGCCUUGCUGACAAAGCGAAGAGCCGAGACGUGAGUAGCUGGUUGGAGGGUGAGGAGUUGAUUGGAUUUUGCAAAAUUCUUGGUUGAAGACCUCUGAGAUCAAGCCUGAGAUUCCUUCGUUGUUAUCUUGAAUGUUAAAUCUUUUUAUUUUGUUUUAGCUUGAACAAGUUUGGGUGGAAGGGGAUUUUGACCAUUUUGUUGUUUUUUGAGGUCAUUAGUUGGUUGGAGGGUGAGAGGAUCAAGCCUGAUGUAAUUCGUCGCCAUUAUCUUGAAUGGCUUUCAUGGUUUACACAAGGGUAUCUCACAAGGGGAGGCGAUUGAUGGUAGAUGAUGCUGCAACUUGUGUAAAGGAUGGACUCAUGAAAGGUUUAUGGGUUUGACUAGCGGGGCAACCACAAGGUUGCGAGGUUGCAAAGUGAAUACUAAGGUGGCAAGGCUCGUCGGAGGUUGCAAAGCUAGCACAGAGGUGGCAAGGCUCAGAAAGAGCUCUGUGGAGAGCUAACAAAUCACGUCGGAGGGUGUACAGAAUUCUAGACUGAACACGUUCACAGCGAUGUCAUAGACCGAAUUGAACAAGAUUCCGGCGAUCGGCCGGCAUCUGAUACCAUGAUAAAUAAAUGAUGAGAGAAAAGAAUGAAUACAAUUCUAGGGCAAACUAGCCCAUAUAAAUACAAUAAUGGUGUACACUCGAGUAUGUAUAUACAUAUAAUAUACAUGUACAAGUACUCUAACACUGAGUAUGACCCCUUUUUUUUUUUUUAAUUCUUUAUAACAAUGAUAACAUUG